RNAcentral lists this ribosomal RNA (259 nucleotides) under uncultured bacterium. Its description in RNAcentral is "partial 16S ribosomal RNA". It matches the Rfam family "Bacterial small subunit ribosomal RNA", at positions 96 to 353 of the family's 1533-position model. The record is from RNAcentral.
UGGCGGACGGGUGAGUAAUGUCUGGGAAACUGCCUGAUGGAGGGGGGAGUAACUACUGGAAACGGUAGCUAAUACCGCAUAACGUCGCAAGACCAAAGAGGGGGACCUUCGGGCCUCUUGCCAUCGGAUGUGCCCAGAUGGGAUUAGCUAGUAGGUGGGGUAACGGCUCACCUAGGCGACGAUCCCUAGCUGGUCUGAGAGGAUGACCAGCCACACUGGAACUGAGACACGGUCCAGACUCCUACGGGGAGGCAGCAUG